This 138-nucleotide antisense RNA is filed under the name Amborella trichopoda. Its description in RNAcentral is "lncRNA IsrR". It matches the Rfam family "Antisense RNA which regulates isiA expression", at positions 67 to 187 of the family's 187-position model. The record is from Rfam by way of RNAcentral. Lineage: Eukaryota; Viridiplantae; Streptophyta; Magnoliopsida; Amborellales; Amborellaceae.
GGGCCCAGGUAUCAUAUACACCUCCAAAAUAAAGAGCCUUGAACACUAGGGAAAAGCACCUACACCUUAUAAGAUUAAGUGAAUAACCAAAAUAGUGGUCAUUUUUCAAUAGGAAAAAAGCUUAUAGGCAUCAACUCA